UUGUCUUUCUCUGGGCCGUUCGUAGC
RNAcentral lists this small RNA (26 nucleotides) under Bombyx mori (domestic silkworm). Its description in RNAcentral is "ovarian small RNA-1651". Lineage: Eukaryota; Metazoa; Arthropoda; Insecta; Lepidoptera; Bombycidae. The record is from RNAcentral.